RNAcentral lists this ribosomal RNA (388 nucleotides) under Macaca fascicularis (crab-eating macaque). RNAcentral describes it as "partial 12S ribosomal RNA". It matches the Rfam family "Bacterial small subunit ribosomal RNA", at positions 794 to 1383 of the family's 1533-position model. The record is from RNAcentral. Lineage: Eukaryota; Metazoa; Chordata; Mammalia; Primates; Cercopithecidae.
GCUUGGCCCUAAACCUCAGUAGUUAGAUAACAAAACUACUCGCCAGAAUACUACAAGCAACAGCUUGAAACUCAAAGGACUUGACGGUGCUUUACAUCCCCCUAGAGGAGCCUGUUCCAUAAUCGAUAAACCCCGAUCCACCCUACCCUCUCUUGCUCAGCCUAUAUACCGCCAUCUUCAGCAAACCCUAAUGAAGGCCACAAAGUGAGCGCAAACGCCGCCGCCGCGAAUACGUUAGGUCAAGGUGUAGCCCAUGAGACGGUAAAAAAUGGGCUACAUUUUCUAUUUCAGAAAACCCACGAAAACCCUUAUGAAACUUAAGGGUCCAAGGAGGAUUUAGCAGUAAAUUAAGAAUAGAGUGCUUAAUUGAACCAGGCCAUAAAGCGCG